This 87-nucleotide transfer RNA is filed under the name Gloeobacter morelensis MG652769. RNAcentral describes it as "tRNA-Ser". It matches the Rfam family "tRNA". Rfam says of the family: Transfer RNA (tRNA) molecules are approximately 80 nucleotides in length. RNAcentral also lists the same sequence under 1 other name. The record is from RNAcentral. Lineage: Bacteria; Bacillati; Cyanobacteriota; Cyanophyceae; Gloeobacterales; Gloeobacteraceae.
GGAGAGGUGACAGAGUGGUUGAUUGUGACGGUCUCGAAAACCGUUGUGGCGGCAACGUCACCGGGAGUUCGAAUCUCCCCCUCUCCG